Molecule: long non-coding RNA, 19954 nt
Organism: Mus musculus (house mouse)
Lineage: Eukaryota; Metazoa; Chordata; Mammalia; Rodentia; Muridae
Product: predicted gene, 40402
Exons: 3
Source: RefSeq, a predicted model, not a curated record
AUAUAUAUAUAUAUAUAUAUAUAUAUAUAUAUAUCUGUUGGGAAAAUUCAGCUUAUACAAUGCCCAUCCAAAGACACCAGAAUUUAGCUAAUGUAUACUGAAAAAUGUGGAAUUUGUCACAAGAAGGAAGAAAAAGAUCCAGCACGUGGACAAGAGGGUGGAAGAAUGAGGAUGGUGGUGUCGGGACAAAUUGUGUGCCUGCGUGCCCAUUCUCAGCUUGCAAAGAUGGUCCUGCUACUUGGCUUAUUUCUUAUUUCUUCUCUUAUCUCCCUCUUCAUUCUUCUCUUCCCACUCCUUCUCCCCUCUCUCCUCUUCACUAAUCUAUCAUCAACCCUUGCAGACACCAUAGGCUACACUCAGUAUCUGUUAACUUUUCUUCCUGGUCCAAGAAUAAUACCUUGAAACAUUCGAUUCAAAGUUUCCAACCCAAAGACUCUCCAGAUCUUGCCUUCUCCCUUCUGCCUCUUUUAGUCUCUCAACAGCAAGAACAAAGAGGAACCGUUUCUCUUCCUUCUCCUGGUUGUGCAGUGGAGUCUUUGAAACCACUCUCGGCACGCCUCUUCCCCAACCUGGCCAGACCUGUAGACUCACAGCCUGCAUUUUUCUCUGUGAGGAGUCAUGCAGGUGAACAAAUGGGCCCCUGGGUCUUUUUCUUCCAACAUCUCAGGUACAGAUCUAUGACAUCAGUAGGAUACUAGAGCUUGUAUCACACUAAGUAGCAAUGCUCCAGGGACCCCCUCAAUCCCUCUUCUGAUGUGGUGCCUGUAAAGGUCUUCCUGGGGGCUUUUAGGAGACUCACGCCAUGCAUAUUCACAAUGACCUUGAACUCCCCUGGGUCACCUUCUGUAAAUUUAGAUUUCCCGGCUGCCACCUGCAUUGACAAUGACCUUCAUAAGAAUGUGGAGUCCCUUAGCUGCUGAAUGGCCCAGUGAGGCUCCAGCAUCCACCUGUGUGCUGAGGCUCAGAAAGUCUCCUGCAGAAACUACCGAUUUCAUCCCAUCUCUGCCCCUAACCCAUUCCUCAGAACAAGUGCAAAUGCCACAGUCCAGAAGACACACAAAGAAAACAUGUGACCUUUCUCAUGGACAUCUCUCCUGUCUUCUAUUUACACAGUAGACUCAACACAAACACUGCUCUUUUUCAGCCACACCCAAAAGUGCCUUUAAUGGUUCAUCUACCUUGUCAAUGCGACUGGACUUAGAAUCACCCACGAGACAUACCUCCACGUGUAUCUGAGGAUGUUUCCAGAGAGGUUUAACAGAAAACCUACCCGGAAUGUGGGCAUCAGCAUCCUAUGGGCUGGGAUCCUGGGGCAAAGGAGGAAGCCAACUAAAUGCUAGCUUGCAUUCACCUCACUCCACGUCCUGGGUAUGGAGGCAGUGGGACCCACUACCUCACACUCCCUCGGCCACUCCUUCAGCACCAUGAUGGAUUGUACCCUCAAAACCCUUCCUGAUGCUUGCUUUGUCAAGCACUUUGCCAUUGAGCAAAGUAACUGAUGUCAUGCUCAUACAGGGCAAUUCACAGAGGAUGACACUUUGGGUUGAGGGGAGGCCUGGUUCUCAUCAAAUCUCAGGCUCAGAAUGUAGGAGCUAGAGCCCUGGGAAUCUUCUGGUGGCCUGUGCAUGUGGCCACUCCUUUCCCUCUGGGUUUCUGGUUUGCUCAGGUUGCAUGUAAGUUAUCCCCCCCUCUCUCCAAUGUAGCUGAGUUACAUUCUAUGUUAUAUUUCUAGGGUGGUAGGUGUCCCCAUUUGUGGGAAAUCCUAGAGUGGGGACCGUUCUCUCUUAAGCUCUGUAAUCAUUCCUAUUACAAUUUCCAAAAUCCUCUUGUCAUGGCUUCUUCUCUGUCUCACCACCACCAAGGCCUAGUGACUCCCGGGGAAACAAUCCUUUUUAUCUGCGAGCUGCUCCCAUCUAUCUGCUGCUGAUGGGUCGACAUGUAAUGAAGACAUUUUGGAGGACUGUCCAGCUUCCACAAAAGAAUGAAUCUCUAAUGGUGGGGUGGCGUAAAGCAUCAGAUACAGGGUGGUGCAACCAUACCUUGGAGUGCUCCCAAGUGAUCCCAAACCCAUAAAAGCAUCUUAUACUUGUAUAUAAUUGUAGUUACAUAAUUCUAAGUCCUUUUGCCAACUGCUAAGUUGUACCCUGGUGAAUGAGCUUCAGACAAAGCAGGAAGCUAUAGGAGGCUACUGUAUAGGAGCAGAGAAAAAUGUCAAAUUACAGUCCCAGUUGUAUACCACACAUAGCUGAAGUCCCCAAGGUACUGGGUCAGUUAAGACAGAAAGACCCCCUGGGAAAUUGGGACUGGCAGCAGUCUGGGUCUGCCCUUAAGGUCCUCUAUACUACCAAGUUUCACGUCUUCAACAUUUAGAGGUGUUUGGUCAAGCCAGAUUUGUGGAUCGUAUUCAAGUCUUCAGUAGUAGUACCAUGAGCCCUGUGACUGAUGUUCAAAUUACAGACACUGUUUCAAGCUCUUAAGGCAGGCAAAGGGAAGAGGGAGGAGGCAGUAUUUAGGAAGCUUGACUACCUGGAGCUCAGGUAUUGGGGUCUCAGAAGUAUUCAGCCAUACCUGUCUUCAAAGUUUGUCUUUAAAAAAAAAUUAGAUACCAGAAAAAUAAUCAGUCUUGCUGUCAAGUCAGACUUGAAGAGAUGGACCCUGUGGAAUUGGACCAUUGUCCAUGUACACUGGAAGGGAUAUUAGAGACAUGCAUCUGGAGACUGGCGCUUCUGGGUAUCCAUCCUACAAGGCAGCCCCUUUCAUCUUCCUACUCCACUUUACAGCGCCCACUACCACAUUGUAUUCAGAGGCUUUUCAGUGGGGCUCAGGCACAUUGAAGCAUGCCUACAAAGCCGGGACGGGGAGCAACUGCAAUAACCAGGAGGGCAAAGCUGGCAGGAGACCAUGCUCAUGCCUUCAGUCAGUCCUCUUGGAUAGAUGGGAUAAUUCUAAUGCAGGUCCUAUCCUAAGUUAUAGUGGAUCUUCACGGGAGACAUUCAAUUUCUCCAUUAACAGCAAGAAAAGAGGGCGAGCUUUCCCGGUAGAUACUGUAGCAACUGCUUCCUUAGGAGAGUUUCAAAAGCCAAAAAGCAAAGGAGGUGAUGACGUGGCCAAGGGAACUGCUUUCAAGUUGAUUCUGCCUGGAGCUAGAACAAGAAAUCAUGGCUCUGAAGCCUCCUUCUACAGUGUACAUAAAAAAUAUUGACCAAGGGCACGGUACAACUUGGAGCACAACUAGUUAUGGACAGUGUCUGCUUGCCCUCACAUCUGGACAGGUGAGGACAAAGUGAAUGGCUGGGGCCAGUGACGAACUGCAGAAACCGUCAGGGACCCACAGAUUCAGGCUGGAAACACAGCUCCGCUUGGCUCUCCCAAACACAACAAACGGGAAGCAGAGGGCAGAAAUUUGAAGGUGAAGAAUUAUUUUAAUUAAACAGUUAAAAGUUGUUAUGGAGCCUGCUCUGUGGAGAGGCUUCCUCAGGGAUCCAGGAGGAAUACUGCACCCUUCCUGGCAGCUCAACAUGCAGCCAGACCAGCCUCCUUUCCAUUCACAGCCCCAGCCAGUGGGUGCCCAAGGGGCAAUGCUGUGGGUCAGCCCUGGACCAGCUUCCAGAGGCAACAUCUCCCCCAAACAGGCCUCACAUCUCCCCAAACCACUUUUUGACUGGCCUCUGCCUCCAUCCAGCAGGGCUGGCCUUCUCCAGGAUGCUCAGCCACUGGGUGUAUUAAAAAGCCUCUCUUGAUGCCUCUCUCCAUCCAGUGCUGUACGUACCUAUGGUCCUGGGCACUCAAGUCUGCCUCUAUGCUUCAUUCAAUAAGAAAAGCUAUUGAGGUGUAUUUACUGCAAACCACAACUUCCAUCUUGGGAGAAACAUUGUUUUCCAAUCUUACUUCUAGGUGCUCCAAGUAAAUUUAAUGGACAGUAAACAUCUAACAAAUGGUACAAUUCUAGACAGGCAGUUGUAACUUUUUUCCCAAAGUAUCUUUUAUUGUUAUUAUUUUAAUUAUAUGCACUUGUGUGUGCAGGAAUCCUCUGGACCUGGACUUGCAGUUGUAUGAGCCACCUGAUGUGGGGACUGGGAACUGAUCGCAGGUCCCCUGCAAGAACAGUAUGCGUUCCUAAACACUGAGCUGUCUCUCCAGUCCUUUCCACACCAGGUGCAAAAAAAUCCUAAGUGCUAAGCCAGAGACAAAUCUUUUCUACAGUUUUCAUUCAUACAGUGCGGCUGCAAGACUGGCGGAGACUAAGACCUUUUACAAACACUGCUACAGUCUAGUCACUGAUCUUGAACAGAACUCAGUCCGCACCUCCUCAGCCAUCAUCCCACUGCGGAGUACAGAAGGCUGCCUUGCUUUUGCUGUCUGUAAAGCACAAGUGUGUACAACUAGCAGAGUGACCUCUUGACUCCUUUUGAUUUCCAUGGUUUUGCUCUUAAAUAAUGACCUUUAGUGAUUUUGUGUGUGCAAGCCAAGGAAUGGUAGGCUCUGAGCCCCUGUUAGUGGACGUAACUUUUCAGUCACACAUUUGGCGAUCAUUUUGAUGUCUUCCCCAGUCCCACUGAUUUUGUGGUUCCAUCGCCCUUUUUCAUGGACACUGUCGAAGGUCUGUUGUCACUCUUCAGCUUGUUUCUUCUUGCAAGCCCUUCCUGCCUCAACCCCCAACGGCCCCGUCUCUCUCACAUUGUCUUGGCACCGUGAUGUGUUCAGACAUGGUUAUAUCCUUAAGCACACUACUUGGCUUCUUGGUCAUGCUAUUUAUGCUUGGAUUUCAUUUCUGCUGCUUCUGCUUUUACUUCUCUGCUCUACCCUACUCUCUAAAACUCCUUACAGAGAAAUGAUGAACUGGCCAGAUAUACUUCCCAUCUCAACUCUGAACUCUCCAGUCCUAUAUGUCCUCAUCUUCUCAGGUGACAUAGUCAAAGAGACUAUGUUUCCACAGAUUCUCCACAUCUAUUUGCUCUGCUAUCUGGACGGAUCUGUUGGUUCUCAAUGUUGAGCUGUUUGGUUCCCAAGGCCUCUCUGUGCAUCUGCCAGCCACGUUUAUCUCAAAGCUCCAUUCUGCUUACACUAUUACCUUUUCCUCUGCUGCAAACUCUGAUUAAUCAGUACAUCCUCACACAUAACAUUUGUGUGCAUAAAAGGUUCUGUGAGCCUCGCAACCAGGAGAAAGGUGCUGUAUGUACUGUGAGCAAGUUUUGCUUCCUUCCUUCCAAUAUAAGCAAGGUGCCUGUCACUGGUAGAGUGAGGAGGCAGCAGGGGUGUCUGGUUUUGGCUUACGUAGACUGAAGAGCUCCACUUGGAUCCUGUGACCCAAGGUCUGAGAUAUCCAUGUCCAGGGCAGUUAUGGGACAAUCACUAUCUGUCUUGACAGCCACAGCCACUCACUCCAUCCUGUGCUCUGGGCUCUUCCAUCCUACCUCUGUCACUUACAAGCCCAACACACAUUCUUCACGUGUGUAAAUGGUCUGAAGCAAUACUUCCUUCAGAAACUGACUCCAUGGACUUUCCAUGUUUCCGAUAUUUCUCCCAGUUUUACUGCAUCAAAGACAGUUCCUGCUUUCUCUCCCCUGUUCAUAGUUUUAAAACCUACACUGCUCUUCCUUGGGGGAAUUUGACUGGAAAGGUGAGGCUGUCACUUUUGUUUAAUCCCUCCUCUAGGGUGAAAAUACUAGAUAUGUUCUCAAUAAAUAGUUGUUGGAUGGAUAAAUGGAUUUAACGCUUCCUCACCAUUUAAAAGUUGUUCACCUUUGAAAAAGAAUUGUUGCUUCAUUAAUUUACAGAACUGUUUUUUGCCUCUCUUGCCACUCAAAUUAAGUGCAGAACUUAGUAGGAUCCUAAGAGCCCAGGUAGGCAGAAGGUUUUUUUUUUUGUUUGUUUGCAUGAAUCUCUAGAAAUUGCUCCAAGGAUUUCUGGAUUCCCCAUGGAUAAACCUGGCAAAGACCCUAAGGGCACUAAACAGGUGACCUGUGUGUUGGCUCCCAACUGCAAAGCCAACUUUUAACUUUCCUAACGUAUUAGGGAAGUUUUGGUUCCAGAGGUGAGAUGGGUCUUUGGCAGCACAAGAAGUAGAUGAAACCAGUCUCUAGCCUUCAGUUUUGAGGUACACGUCAAAGGUCAUGUCUCACUUUGUAGCAUCUGAGCAAAUGUCAAAGGUAGGCUUUCUUUUUUUCUGUCAUUCACCUUCCCUGACCAGGCAGCGGUCAGAACCAGCUGAUGUGCUGUGGCAUCUCACAGAAGCGGGGGAGGGGGCAAGCCAAGGACCAAGAUGUCCCAAAAGACAGAUACGCACAUACACGCACUGAAGGAAAUUGCUCAACAAAAAGUGGACAUAUAACUACUUUUUUGCCGAGGAGAAUAUGAGGGGCACGCUACUCAAUUUGUAGGGAAAUUGUAACAUCAUUUUCCCCAAUUCCCAGAAUCUAGAAGAUGAACCCUAGCUAUGGACCGGCAACAUGGUGGCAUAGUAUCACUUUGUAGCUCCACGAAGGUAUCGAUGAACAUCUUGCAGUGAUGCCAUCUGAUUCCAUUGGAGAGUAUAGUCUACCCUUGUCUUGAAAAUGUGAGUCACUCCUCUCUCAACUCAUCUGGGCCCUGUCUUAGUUAGAUCCAGUUAGUUUCGUUUCUGUAAAUCCUUCCCUGGGGCUGGCUUCUCAGCACAUGAGGGUUCUCUCCUUGCCCUACUUGGCCCAUCAAUAUAGAUGCUACCACAGUCACUUUGACACGACAAGAGUUGGGGAACCUUAGUCUAAAGUUGUGUCCUUCAGCUCUGAUUAUGGAAAACAUGGACAGUGGGGAUGAACUAGACAGCACACACAGGGAGGGGAGAUUGGCUAUGCUUAUCCAUGAAGCAUUCAUCAUGAUCAAACCAAAGCUCCUUCACCUGGCCUUGGAUACAAACUUUAAGUUUGCUCUUUAACCAAAAACAGGUUUCUCAUAGUUGCGCCUCCAUCGCCAUUUCUUAAUGGGGAUAGUCCGUUGGGAGGUAGCCACGGUGAGAGCCGUAUACAAUGAGAAUACAGUGGCUGUGCUUCUCAGACUCACGGAACCAACAACUGAAAAAGUUCAGGAACAUUCAAAGAAGGGUUGAAUUAGGACCACAUCAUCUAAAGCAGGUAAGACUGUCCUGAGAACUCUGUUUUCUAAGUCAGAGUGGGGCGACCUUUUUUGAAGCUCCCAUCCUACGUCUUUGCAUAAAAUGUUUCUGAACUUUCUUAUAUGACAAUUCGACAACUAGAAGACAAUAAUAUCCACUGCAGAAAAAAAUCAAGAUGCAAGAGGAGAUGAAAGCCUAGCCAGCCAAUCCCUCCCUGUGUUGCACAAGCUCCUGGUCACAGCCUCAGUUAUAAUCUCCAGAGAGCAGAGCCACACCUUCGUUUUAUCCAUCUCAAUACUCAAAGCAGCAUGACGCACAUAGUAGGUGCUUUUAAUUUACCAGUUGAAUGAAUGAGUGAAUGAAUGAACACAUAUCAGUAACUUAGGCCCUCUGCCUCUCCUUACUCUAAAACACUUUUGGACUAGGAAGCCUUGUCAAUAAAGCAGCUUUAAGAGUAUUGAUUUGAGGACCCCAUAGCCACCACCACCCCCCCUCUCAAACCACAGAGGCUGAUGAUUCCCUUUAAAUUGCCACCCCAGGUUCCCCAGGUGGGGGUUCUUGAGGACCAGCUCCUACAGAGGCAGAGCCUUUUCCUUCCAUCUCCCAUCAGAUAGACAGACUCUCAGCCCAGUUCCCAUCAGCUCACAGUGUGGCUACAUGCUCAGAUGCUCACAGUGUGGCUACAUGCUCAGAUGCUCACAGUGUGGCUACAUGCUCAGAUGCUCACAGUGUGGCUACAUGCUCAGAUGCUCACAGUGUGGCUACAUGCUCAGAUGCUCACAGUGUGGCUACAUGCUCAGAUGCUUACGUCCAGAACCCCAGCCGUAGCUGCAGAUGCUUUACAGGUAGAAAAGACAAGCUACCCCAGGAGUUGCUGUCAAAUUUAAUGUUCUGUCUUCAUGGGGUACGGGAGUACGCUUAACAAAAAGUUGUUUUGCAAGGACUUGUCUGUUCUGCCUUGUCUUGUGACUUCUCUAAAGAACACUAAGACAAACUCUUAACUUUAAGAGAUUAUGAGAGAAAGAUAGGGAAUGUGUGUGCCAACAAGAUAGGAACAAGGUCCAGAGGCCAAGAGAGUUUAAAAGCCGUGGCAUGGACCUGCUAGCAGGCACUUCCCUGGUUCACUGUUUAUGGGCCUGACUUCUUGAAGGAAAUGGUCUAAAAUGGUCUACUUAGGACUGGCUGGUUCAGACACCAUGGCCCAGAGAAGAAAACUUGUGUUCUUUAUUAAGGACCUCCAGAGAAAAGGACUCCCCCAUGCCCAGACACACGACUGCCCCAGCAAGAAGAGCUGGUGUCUCUAAAGUGUGACGAUCCCUUAGAGCUGAGAUCCCUUCAAAUACUCUUAACACUCGGCCUCAGAGGGACUGGAGAAUGUUUAGGUCUUUGUCCUGGACAUUCAGAGUGUUGGGAAGGCAGAGAAAGUGAGUUUGGAGUAAAGCUGCUCUUAGGAACAGCUACCCAAAGGAGGGGCUUCCCUCCAGAUCAUGAUUAUUUUAAAGCAUCUAGACUCGUCUCUCUUCUUUAUUUAUGACAGGUAAUAAGGCUCUUUCAUGGAGAAAGGUGUCUAAAAAGAGAACUCGAGGCACAAAAUUUCUGACUCUUCAGCCCCUCUUCCCCCACAUCCCUUUUCUGCAACAGUACGAUUUGGUUGGAAGAGAAUAAGAGGAUACUGGGAUGAAACCCGACGUACCCGUCCUAAGAAUCAGCUGCCCUAGCUGCUCAUUCCAGGGCAGGGGGUAGCUUGGCUUUCCCACUGUGGCCAGAGGCUAUCUCACCACUGGGGCCUUGCAAGGCAGUAGACCUAAAGGCAGACAAUAUAGAUCAAGACUUGCUUGCCAUCUAUCUGUCCCUAACUUCUGCUAGAGACCCAAGCAGCAAAAACCAGUCAUGUCUAGCAACAUGGAAAUGAUAUAAUUGCCCCCAUAGGGUGGGGUCCGGCAAGGAGGCUUAGCCAGAUGGCAAAGCUGAAGAGAUUCCCAAGGGGGAAGGCUUAGCAGUGGCUAGCGUGGCAGAGACUCUCAAACCUUUUAAAACAAAGUCAAAGUCCAGGAUGGAGGCUUAAUAACCUCUGUGACAAAUUGUCCAUGGGAGAACACAGAGGCAAAUCAAGGAUCUGCCAGGCCUCCAGAGAACCCCAGGCAGCCAGCAGGUGAAGCCCCACUCCGCUCUCCAACACUACUCAGUCUCUCCUCAACCCUCAAGUGUCUAUGCUUCUUCCUCCCUGCACCCAUGAGCACCACCUUCCUCCAACCCUCUCUUGGCCACCCCAGGAUCCCUCUGGAGCCACUGGAUUCAAUCAGGACAAAGGUUAUAUAGAACUCGGUAUCACCAAUCAGGAGUUCCCUCCUUCCUGGGACUAACCAAGCAGUCAGUAAUGGGUGAUCUGAGUCUCCCAUUGCCAGUUCUCCAGGUCACCACGCUGCUGCAGUGGGCCUGGCCCUGGGGGACUUGCCCUUCUAAAAUUGAGCUGAUAUGGCAGUUCCUUCACCUAAAGUUGAGCUGACGGUUCUUUGCCGCCAAGGGGAGUAGAAAGGUGAGUAAGAAACAAUUGAGCAGAAGUUUGAACGCCUCCUAGAAACAUUGCCAAGUUGGAACUGCUUCAUUUUCAUGUGUCUGAUAGCCUAGCAUGUCCAAGGACAAUGCCAGGUGUCCUAGGGAUAUAGAGAUAAAUAAGACAUGAUCCCUGUCCUAGAGAGCCUUUGCCCAUGCGAUAACACUUGACUGAAAGGUAAUUGCCAGAUAGGGAAGUGAAGGUCUUGGGAGGCCAUCUAGGAAUAGCAUCUCAGAGAGACUUCCGUCGUGUAACUCCUGAAAACUACCUUAAGCAGUGAGGACAGUUAAGAAGAGGAAGCUGCUGGACUAAGCAUGGGCUUGAGGUGGAUGGGGUAUGGGCAUGGGGCCUGCAUAUGGAUGGAGACAGGGAAAUGUCCACUCCUAGGAAGGACCAACCCCCUCAGGGUAGAAGCAGCAGAGGGGCAGACAUUGGGUGCAAAGCUACCAGGAAGAGUGGGCCCCACUCACUGUGCACUUACAAGUGAGGCAGAUGCAAGCAGAGUAUACAGAAAGAUAAACACCUACGUGACUUCAUUCUCUUCUCUGGGUGCUCGGGAAGGCAGGCACCCUAACCUUACCCAGAGAUUCAGCAGCUCCUUCGAAGACACCCAGCACAAAUGUGGCUAGGCUAAGAAAUGGGGUCUCUUUGAAGCCCAUUCUCAGGAGCACUGUGUGGUGGGGAAGGCCCUUGGACAUCCCCAUGGAGGAGUUUACACUUCAUCCUGAUGCCUGGGAGCCCCAGUGGGUUUUAAAGAGAAGGGAAGCGCUAUAAGAUCUGCAUUCUUAAUGACACUGCCCACUGUGCUGUGGGUAAACUGAGGGCCCAAAGAGGUAGGGGGUGGCUGUUGUAAAGAGGCUGUGAGCUAGGAAAUGCAGACGGGCAUACAAGAAGAGCCCUUGUGAGCAGUCCGAAGGGGAAACCAGUGAGACAAGUGACCACAUAAGAGGAGUCACCAAAACGAGAAGGAGCUGUGAACUUGGCCAGCUGGGCUGAGCACUGGUCAGGGUCCCCAUAAAAUGUGGACCUCGAGCGGCUGGAGACAGUAUUUACCAAGACCACAGGUAAUAAAGGAAAAAAAGACAGAGGUGUGGAGUUACUCCAGGCAGGGAAAACAACUGUGAUUCAUGUCACAAGCACUGCAGACUGAAGCUGCCAGAAGCUUCCACAAGAUGUCUGCAAGCUUCUAGUCUUCCAGUGAGGCAGGGAAGAGAGGACGACAGGGAGACGGGAAACCGCCAGCUAGAAAAUCACAGGCAAGGGCGGAGGUGGCGCUGUCACGUGCAUUUUGCAACCAGUCCUCCAUGAGCCUUUCUGGCUUUUGAGACCUGAAAACUAGAGUCCACCGGACCUGUGAUGCAAAAGUCAGUCGUGGUGCAAUCCAAAGGGUCGACAGAGAGUACAUGAGUCAUAACGGUUGAGAAGGGGCGGGGAAUCCCCCAGAGACACCGACUGCAAACAGUACUUGUAAGUACUUGACUUUUAUAAAAGGAAGUGGUGACAGGCCAGUGUCACAGAGUUUAGAAUGGUGAGUCGGAGCCUGGAGAAGAACAGGUAAUGAGGGGGACAUUAAAGGGGGUGAGGGGAGGUAAAUGAUGUAAGCUCCCUAAGAAAGGGCUAGCUUUAGUCAAAAGAAAGAGAACUUUCUAGCAAAUUUUGGAAGGAGAUGCUACCGGGAGGCAUGGACAGGAAGGGGCCCAGCAAUUAGAAAGCUCUUCCUCAUACAACUAAAGUGACUUUGGCCUUGGGAUAAGGGGGUGAAAUCUGUUUGAAUCACAGGAGCAAGCUGGCUGAAAGUGGGCUGAGAAACCCAAUGAGAGGGUCCACUAGCUAACGCAGGGGACAGAUGCAGAGUUGCCUGGAUGGAGGAUGAAGGCUUUGGGCAACUCCAGGAUAAGCCAUGGUCACAGGGUCUGCACUGGCCACAGUCACUCACACUGUGUGAUCUUUGGCAGCUCUCAGUCACCCCAACAGGAAGCAGAGGUUAUCUGAGGGCCGGGACCUCAUGUCUGAUAGCACAGGGAUGAGGACAGGGGGCUACCGCAGACACAGAGAAGUCUAGAUCAUCUAGGCCUCACUGGUUCCGUGCCUCUAACCCAGAGACCAACCUCUCCUUCCUUGCCCACGGCUGGCAUUGUCAUAGAUGUUGGUCUGUCAUGGGUGCAUUCUCUACUCCAUCCCCGCACUGUUCUUCCCCCCAAGAUCUGGCUCCCUCAACACAUUUUCUCCCUCUGCUGCCAGGCACCUCAGUCAUGCACCUGGUUAUAUACUUGUUGCUUCUGUUUGGGCCUCUACAAGUCCCUGAGUAGUGAAGAUCAGAUGUGUGUCUAGGUGACAGGCCUCCCCUCAGCUCCCCCCUCCUUCCUCAAACUGCCCAUGAACUGAGCAAAGCAGGCUCCAUGGGCUGAGGAAGCUGCUCCUUAUCUCUAUCCUCUUCUGCUAGCCUAUCAUUACAGUGCUGUAUAAACAGCCCCGUGCUAGGGGUCGGAGAGAACGCCACUUGGACUUUCCAAAGAUCUUUGGCAUGGACAAAGUUGAGGAAAGGGAGGCUCAGAGAAGUUAAAUAGCCGGUGUCCUGUGUCACACAGCUUGUUAGUGGCUGCCCUGGGAUUCAAAUCCAGGCCUGACUUCUACAAAGGCAAGCGCUCGUCAGCCUCUUUGCCCACACCUGCGUCCCCAGGCAGAGCUUUUGACAAACUCAUGCCGCCAUUCAUUUGUCCAUCCACAUAGCUGUUGGUUCUUUGGUCAAGGCUGGGCAUUUCCAAAGCUGGCUGCAAACACUAUCUUAAGACUCAGAAUGGUCAACUCUCUGAAAUAGAACCCAUUUCUUAGGGUUAUCUAUACACCACCUUCCACAUCCGGAAAGGACUCCACAGACCCUUCCAAUCACCCUUUGUUCUUGCUUACAGAAGAUGAGAGUGUGAGAGAGAGAGGGAAAGAGAGAGAGCUUAUAGGAACUGCACAGUAUGGUGCUAUUGUCCCCCACACUCACUGUGGAAGCUUUAAGUUUUCCCAACAGUUUUUCCAAAAAAAAAAAAACCUCCAUAAUUUUUAUUGCUGGGACAAAUCUUCAGGCCUUGGGAGAGCAGGCCUUGGGAGAGUGUCAGUCUCCCACUUGCUUAGCAUCCCUGCUCACAACCCCCUCCACACUCCCACCUUCACCUCCACCCUCACUCCCACCUCCACCCUCCCUCUACCCAGACUUCACCUCGAAGGGUCCUAUCCACCUAAACUGGGAGGGGCCCUGAGCCCCUGCUCUCUACCCUCCAGGCUUGUUAGACAAACUGGAGAAUUGAGUUCCAGGAUGGGGUCUGAGCAUCAAAGUGGCUACUGAAUCAGUAUGGCCAAGAGGCUCUGUUUCCAGAGUGAGGGAGAUCUGGGGAACACCAGAAAUCACAAGAUGGAGAAAGAUGGCUGAGAAGUAUUCAGAAGCAGGAGAGGCUCCUCCGCCAUUUGAUAACAAAAUAUUGUGGGGGUUUUUGUUUGUUUCUUUUCCUGGCAAUCCUCUCCAGAUCCAAAUGUUGCUUCUUUGAAAUCUCUGCAACCACACUGGUCACACCUGGUCCUUGGGAAGAUAGGCUAAAGAGGGAUGUUGUUCUGGCCACACCAGCUGACCUGCACCUGCUUUGCAGGGACCACUUAGCUCUACAUCAUGAAUCUGCCUGUCCCAAGAGUCCAAAAUCUUGCUGUUGCUGGGCUAAAUGCCACGUAUUCUCCCCAGCCAGGCUGUGCAUGCACUGGGGUCAUGGUUAAUGUAGACAUCAGGCUCAAGGGCUUCUGCCAAUACAUUAAUGUAUCUUAUCUGCCCAGGACAACUGUUAGAACCAAUCGGGUGGAUCCAAUCACUGUCCCUCCACUGGCCUCGGCGGUCAUUAAAAAUGAAAACGUCCAAGAACCUCCGCCAGAAGGAGCCACAUGAACCAUGAGAGGACUACCUUUGCUUACUGUGACUUCAGUUCCCACAGCAGCUAUUAAUUCAAGCAGUAAAGAUAGUUUGAAUUUGGUUCUGAUCCUGCCAGACAGCAGCAUAUAGGACACAGCCUCUGCUGGAGGCGGGGCAACAAAUCAGUUUCAACUUCAUGAGCCACGGUGGCUGAUCCCAGCCAGCCAUGUCCCUCUGCUGCCCUUAGGUCCUGGGAUAGAACCCUCUGCUCCAAUACUUCCUGAUGUUCUCAUAUCAACGCUACAAAGUCAAUAUGGCACUGAGGACAACUUUACUAGUGAGGAGCCACCUGACUCUCUAAAGCAGACCCAGACAGAUUCUUAAAACACUUUUGUUGCCUCAAGUUUCUGAUUUGAGUUGUUGGCACAGGGGCAGAUCACUCUUUUGCUCCUCAUAGUGGCCUGUGUUGAAAUCAGAUGGUAAGGGUGGCUAAGGGUCAAAUCAGAAAGUCAACUCUCUCCCUGUAACAAAAGCUACCAAGGGUGGACCCUACACUCCAACUAUGCAAACUAUACUGGAAUCACUUCUGGGUUUUAAGACAAAGCAUUAGCUGCAGUCAAGAGCUGGAUGUCAAAGGUGAACGACUCACGACGAUACUUUUUCUCCUUUGGCUGGGGUUCGGGGCUAGGAGUGAGAGUGACAUUCCUUGUUUUUUUGUUUAUUUUGUUUUUGUUUUUUGUUUGUUUUUGUUUGUUUGUUUGUUUUACAAAAGCAAACAGGCUUAGGGAGAUUUCGUGGCCUUCAAUAAUGUGCAGAUCUGGUCAGGGGCAGGGACAAAUAUGUAUCUUGUUGUAUGGUCUCCCUUCUCAUCACUGAAAGAAAAAACUGGGAGUCCAUCACACCUGCCAUGCCAGACCAGCAAGCAGUCUCCAUCAGGACUCUAAGCCCACAGACAGCAUAAGGCAACAUUAAAGGCCAUCCAGCCUUAGCCCUCUGUUUACAGAUAAGAGGACUCAGGCCCCAAGAAGAAAAGUGACUUGUUCAAGGUCACACAGCAAAUUAGUGGCAAUGCCCAGGCUUCAAGUCACAUUGGCAGAGUGCGGUGUAUGCCAGCAGCCAACCUUCCCCUCCAGCAGAUACACCUAGACUCUGUGCCUGGAUCACAUUACGGUCUCCUGUUUCUCUGUCACUCUUCUUGGGGGAAGGAACAGGUCUGUACUGGAGUAGCUAGGGCUUCCUUUUCAACCAGGUGAAAGCCCCCUCUCCCAGUCUCUCCAGACAUUUUAGGUGGAGGCGUUUACAGUUCUUAAGUGUCCAUAUCUGUCUCCGCCCCAGAGAUAAACCACAGAAGAAUCCAGAUCUUCCUCUUUCAUGUUUGCAGCUGUCCUUGCUGCACAGAGGGAAGGUAGGUAGGAAAUAGCCGAUGCCUUUAUAAUUCAAGACGACAAGGUAGACUGCUCUUCCCCGCUGGACAGCCUCAAGUCAUCCCUAAGUCCACCAGUGGCGUUAUCGUUUAUAGUCCCCUCACAGAAACAAAAGUUCAGAUUUCAGGAUCUGAUGUCACACCUGACACUGAUGCCACUCCCGUCUAGAAAACUAAAUGUCCUUACUCUGCCUCCUGAACCUAGUUGUGUCCUGUAGUCUGUCACUCACUGAUUCCAUGUUAAGCUUGCCUGUCUGUCUACCAGAAAUCCUAGAAUAAAGCUCUGCAAUCCCUCCUGACCCCGUCCCAUCCCCAAAACCUUUUAUCUCCCUCUUGACAAAUCACUGUCUACCCGGAUUCCGUUACAGUGUUUGGGUUUGUUUUUAUUGCUGUUGUUGGUUGCUUGGUUUUUGUUUUGUUUUUUCUUGGUUUUUGCUUGGUUUUUUUUUUCUUUUCUCCUUAAAUGCAAAGAAAGCCUCUUGGAUUAUUUUCACCAUCCACACCUAGCAGGGAGCUCAGAGCAUAGAGUAGCCCUGAAUAAAUAGUAAAUAAAGGAAUUAGUAUGUACUGUGGAAAAAAAUACAUUCUCCCUCUAUCAUUCAAGGCCUGGGAAGAAUCAACUACUACAGAAGAGAAAAUAGGUGUGGGAACCUACAGAAAAAAAAAAAAAAACUCAGAUGAGAGAGCAGAUCAAAGGAAAGGAAGGCACCUCCUCAUGCUUGGUACCUCCCUUAGUCUUUCUUAAACACACCAAAAAGUGAAACCCCUGUCCCAUGGGUUGGAGAGGAGAAGUCGUGCAGCUUCAGUACACUUUGUAGCCAGCAUCUGUGUGGUUAAGGAAACAAAAGCCAUUCCUUGGUCAGGGGAAAUGUGCUCUCUGACCCCUUUAUGGCUUAAAGAGGUGAAAUGUGCUCCACCCCUUCUGCUGUGACCUCCGUUUUGUUUUGUGCUCCUAAACCAAAGUCACUCACUGUUCACAGUGCCCCCCAAGCAUGAAGGGAUCCACCCCACGCCUUCAUUUGGCUCAACAGCCAAGAUCAACAGUGCAACAGAUGGGGCCUCCCUCUGCUCCAUCCCAUGUCUCCUGCAAAUGAAGCAGUAGGUGGUGGGUCUCAUCAAGAAGAACUCAUCAUCUUGCUAAGAAGAAUUCUCUCCUUUAGGAAAGAAUGUGCACCAGCCACACCAGGCUCUUGUGUAAAGAACAUCAAGACUGGGGGGGGGGGUCCUCUUUAUAAUUGACAUCUCUUCUCCUGGCUAGUCUCCUCCUUAGCCAUUAAAGAAUCUUCAGAACACAGCUCUCCUACAGUACAGGCUUAGCUGAGCCAAGAGGAAAAGUUAAAACCAGGGCUUUCCCUCUACGUUGCUUUGAAGCCCUCACUAGGAUUUCAUGGAAGUCCAACUUCUUUAGGUUAUGGAGAAAAAGCAACUAUAACCUUCCUUGAUAUUUUAAUCUACCUCCUAAUCUCCAGCCUGGAAAGAAAGCUUCAUAAGAAGAAGAUAAGGACACCCAUGUACCAGUGUGUGUGUGUGUGUGUGUGUGUGUGUGUGUGUGUGUGUGUGCGUGUGUCCUUGCCCACAGCCCACAGCAAAUGAAUGACUCAGGAGACACUCUCAGGACAUCUUCUUUGUCUGUCAUAUUGAAGUCUACCUUUCAAAGCCAAUCAUUAACAAUAUUGUCUCCAUCCUCCCAGAUGGCUCUGUCUUAACAAAACCAAACCCUGAUCCCAGAGCUUUUCUUCUGCUAAUUUCACUCUUUCUAAACACAUUUCCCCAGAUAUGUGCCACUCACUGCCUUCCAACGGGAACUGACUCCUAUUGGCUUAAAGUAAUGAAUACUUUCAUCUGCCUCCAGUGAGGCUACUAGAUCACUAGGGAGAAUAAUACAUAUAUUCAUCUGACUUAAACUGGUUCCCACUUCUCUCAGCAGGAAAGUCAAUAAAGCUGGUUGAAGCUGGAGGACAGGUGACCCCUGGCUAAGCAUUUUUUUUAUCUCUUUGCUCUUUGACCACUCUCACCAGCCUCUCCUAUAUGGCAUCAUUUGUAUACUUGGUAUGGGACAAAUAGGUCCUUCACAGGAAUAAAUGAAUAACUCCUUCUCUGUCUGAUGCUUGUACCCCACACAAGAAGACUGCCUACUCCAAGAUAGUGGGGAGGCUACUUCAGAAGAAAGAGAAAGAGGAGUUGGUGUCUGCUGACACGGUGGGUUCUAUCCAAUGAGGUCAGAGGAGGGCUGUUGGCAGCUUCCGUUAAAUUCUGUUGGGGCAGGCAAGUGGCCACUGGCAGUUAGUUCUGUGGUGAAGCUAAGGAUGCUGGGAUAGAUGGUCAAAGCUAUGAGGAGGUCAUCUAUACACUGGAGUGGAGUGCUUUGUGGAUGUCUUUAUCUAAAGUCCAUCAGACCUGCCCUCAGGUUUUCAUCAAACACUGUUGGACUUUCCAUCAAGAAGAUUAGAUUCCAGUCAAACCUAAAAUGGCUUCAGCAAGAAUAAAAGAUGGAGGAACCUCUGCACUCUCUUGCCCUGAAACAAUACAAAACUAUAAGAAGCCAAAGUAUGAGGGCACCAGGUAUAACAGACAUGUUGGGGUUUGUCCACAUGACAAAAUACGCAGUAGUCUGCUUCUCCUCUCCAGAUCCCUGACCUACAACUAACUAUUUGAACUGGCCACCAGGCAUAUAUGGUAUACCUUGAAAAUGAUUGUCCAUGAGAAAGAGUGAAUACAAUAAAUAUGGAAGUUGGGUUUCUCAGGCUGGGGACAUACCUUGAGGAGAGAGAGGUACGGGUGCUUGAUCCCAAACCUUAAUAAACCGAGUUUAAUUCCUAAGACCCACACAGUGGAAGGAGAGAACCUAUCCCUGCAGGUUGUCCUCUUGAUACAUAUGCACCCACAUGUGUACACGUGCACCCACUCAUGCAUACACACAAACUGUUAAGCGUGUUAUGUGGGUGGGGCAGGCUGGAGAGAUGGCUCAGUGGUUAAGAGUGCUUGCUGCUCUUACAGAGCAUCCCACCAUGUCAGCUGGUUCCAUGUCUGCUGUUUCACAACUACCUGUAACUCCAGCCUCAAGGGAUCUGAUGCUCUCUUCUGACCUCUGACCUCCUCAAGCAUCCACACAGCGUGGCAUACAGAUCCAUGGACCUACCCAAAGAGAUAAGCAAAUAAAAAUAAGUUCAGUUUCUCUUAUUAUACUCUAUUUCCUUCUGGUGCCAGGGAAUGGAAGUCAGAGCCUUAUGCUUGCCAGGCCAGUUCUCUCUGGCUGACUAGACCCCAGCUGUAAAAUUUUUAAAAUAAAAAUAAAAAUACCACUUGUUGAGUUUUGGUGUAGUAAAUAAGAAUCACUGCACUAAUUUUCAAAAAGUUAUCAAAACACUAUUAUCUCUCCCUUUUCAAGUGUGCAUCGCUGGAAAACUGAAGUUAAAUUGCAUGCUUCAGCCAGAACAAGCUCAAGACAGAAGCACGUGUAAAAGCCACGUGUCGUCUCUCAAUUGAGGCAUUUAAAAUAUUUACGAAAUAAUCAAACAGUUUCUCCCAUCUGAUGUGAUGCUCUCUCCCUCCUCCUGCCCCAGGGACGUUGGGCAACCCUUUGGUUGUCCCCUGAGAUCCAGGAGGAGGGUUUGCUGCUCACUUGUGCAGAGAGGUGGCCCUGCACCUGGGGCCUCGCAGAACAAGAAAUACCUUGUCAAAACUUCAGCCCUGCAGAGGUAGAAGGACAUCCUGAUGAAAACUGACCCCUCCCCCAACACCCUUCUUGUUCAGUGUGUGUUCAAAUAUAUAGGAGUAUGCAACAGGAUUCUCUUUAAAUAACUUCACAGUUUAAAAACAAGUCACUAUUUGAAAGUGUAAUGUCAGUGGGUAUAACCCACAUAAACAAAAGCUCUUUGGGGGUUCUCAAUAUUUUUUUUAAGAGCUGAAGGGAUCCCAAGACUAAAAAGUUCAAGAAAUUCUUAAAACUUAUGGAGACUAUAGAUUACAUGAUGACACCUAUUGAAUGGCUCUUACACACCAGCCAGGUUAAAAACAAGGUGUUCACAGCAGGCAUGACAAUGAGUGACAUGUGGCUUCCUCAGAAGGAGGUACACUGGCCAAUAAAGAGCUCAGAUCCAGAGGCAAAGUGUGCCAAUCCAACUAUCUCUUGGAUGCUCCACCUGAGCAGACACAUCCGCCAAGAAAAGUCACCUGCGGUUCCCAAGAGAGCUACUGUCUAGAAGGGACAAGGGACAAAGGACACAAUGAACAUUUCCAUUCAAAUGGAACUGUAUAUGGAACUGGAAUGUGAAACCCGGAAAGUGCCUUCUCAGGAGGAGGGACAAGGAGGAGGAUGAGGAUGCCCUUAGGGCCCAAUGUGACACCAAAGCUGAGUCUUGAAGGAUGAGUAGGGAUUUGGUCACUUAAGAAGAGCAAGGCAUUUCAGGAGAUAACUGGGGUCAACUGUGCCUUGGGCAAAGGCCCAGAAGCAUAAAAUCACAUGGUGUAUUUGAGGUGGUUAUAAAAGGGUAUAAAAGCGAAGAUGAAAGGCAGUCUGUGCUGGCUAAAGAAACUCCGAUUGGUGCUGGGCAUCCAUCUUCAUACCCGUCAAUCAUUUGUCUCUGACUGCAGUCCUGGAAGAUAAGUUCCCAGUAACCCUAGAUCAGUGACCCCACUCCACUCCAAAAACAGUACAGCUGUGACUAUCCACUUGUUAUGACUAACUGCUCUCCCCCGCCCCCCCCCCCCCCCCGCCACACACACACACAAUUGUUUUGAGUUGCCUUAACCACGUGGCAGAACAGAAUAGUUUUUGCUUGCUUGCAUAGAUAUUGAAGGUCUUCAUGUGUUGGGCUUUAAAAGUCCCUCCCCAGACCCUUCCUUCCUUCAGAGCAAUCUCAAAUCUGGCUCGGAGUCUGUUCCCUCUUUUAAUUGUAAAUGGAUUGAGUCUGUAGUCUUUUACAAGGGGUCACAAACUCCAUAACAAGAUGAAGUAUAUACCACCCAACAAAAUAGUCUCCAGUAGAAGCAAAAAAAAAAAAA